CCGCCGUUGAAGACUUUUUCGUACUCUGUCAUCGCCGAACUGUCGAAGGCUCUACACGGUUCGCCGUCGUCGAAGACUCGUCGCCGUUGAAGGCUCACCGCCAUCGAAGGUUUUUCCGCUCUCUGUCGUCACCUCCUAACUGUUGAAGGCUCUACCACCAUUUCACUCUAAGGAAAAGCGGAUAUGCAUAUGUGUUCAUUAAGAAUCUUGAUGUAUUAGUAGAUAACAAGACACUGUAUGACACUUUUGUUGCCUUUGGAACUGUGCUAUCUAGUAAGGUAGCGGUUGAUGAGAAUGGUCAAUCAAAAGGGUAUGGAUUUGUGCACUUUGACAAUGACGAGUCUGCUCAGAAUGCUAUCAAAAAAUUUAACGGCAUGUUAAUAAAUGUUGCAGUAGCUCGGCGAAAGGAAGAAAGGAAGUCUAAUUUACAGGCCCAGUUUUCUCAUAUGCAAAUUGCACCUUUCUCUGCUGGCAUUACUGGAUAUCAUCCAGCUUAUUUUGGUCCAGGAACACGUGGGUUUGUCUCACCUCAGGCAACAGGCUAUGGUUUUCAACCUCAUGUCUUGCCAUAAAGCAUGUGUGGGGUUGCUCCAAAUUUCUUGCCACAAAGCAUGUCUUGCCACAAAGCAUGUGUGGUUUAGAGUGGUUUUAAUUGUCAGUGAUAACUGUUAGAGUGAUUUGUAUUGUAGAAGUGUCCAAUACUUUAAUAGCAGUACCAAAACUGUUUUCACAAAACAGUUUACUGAACUGUAUUGGAG
RNAcentral lists this small RNA (758 nucleotides) under Vigna angularis var. angularis. Its description in RNAcentral is "Non-protein coding transcript". Lineage: Eukaryota; Viridiplantae; Streptophyta; Magnoliopsida; Fabales; Fabaceae. The record is from RNAcentral.